AUUGAACGCUGGCGGCAGGCCUAACACAUGCAAGUCGAGCGAGCGGCGGACGGGUGAGUAAUGUAUGGGGAUCUGCCCGAUAGAGGGGGAUAACUACUGGAAACGGUGGCUAAUACCGCAUAAUAUCGGAUGAACCCAUAUGGGAUUAGCUUGUAGGAUGGGGAAAGGCUCACCCAGGCGACGAUCUCUAGCUGGUCUGAGAGGAUGAUCAGCCACACUGGAACUGAGACACGGUCCAGACUCCUACGGGAGGAAGCAGUGGGGAAUAUUGCAACAUGGGCGCAAGCCGGAUGCAGCCAUGCCGCGGGUAUGAAGAAGGCCUUCGGGUUGUAAAGUACUUUCAGCGGGGAGGCGUUACCCGCAGAAGAAGCACCGGCUAACUCCGUGCCAGCAGCCGCGGUAAUUC
Molecule: ribosomal RNA, 406 nt
Filed under: uncultured bacterium
Lineage: Bacteria
Description: partial 16S ribosomal RNA
Rfam family: Bacterial small subunit ribosomal RNA
Source: RNAcentral